RNAcentral lists this long non-coding RNA (326 nucleotides) under Capsicum annuum. Its description in RNAcentral is "long non-coding RNA (CANN_LNC014121)". The record is from RNAcentral. Lineage: Eukaryota; Viridiplantae; Streptophyta; Magnoliopsida; Solanales; Solanaceae.
UACCUUAUACUCCUCCUUAUUCGUCUAGCUCUCCUCACCAUCCUUGCUCUCCACCAACUUAGCAUAAGCCACUGUCUUAGUAUCCACCUUCCUCUUAACUUCUUAAUUCUACCACCAAUCCCCCUGAUGUUUGCCAGAUCUACCUCUCGAGAUACCUAACACCUCUCUAGUGAUCUCCUUAAUGUAAUUAAUAGUUGUCUCCCACAUACUAUCCACAUCCCCACUACUCUCCCAAGACCUCUUCAUUGUUAAUUUCUCCCUCAUUUCCAAAUCACUUGCCAAAGUCAAGCUACCCCACUUAAUCCUGGGUCGACCCUCCAUACUCC